GACGAACGCUGGCGGCGUGCUUAACACACGCAAGUCGAGCGGUAAGGCCCUUUGGGGUACACGAGCGGCGAACGGGUGAGUAACACGUGAGUAAUCUGCCUUUGGCUUGGGAAUAACUUCGGGAAAUCGGGGCUAAUGCCUGAUGUUUACUGUCUGCUGCAUGGUGGGUGGUGGAAAGAUUUUUGGCCAGGGAUGAGCUCGCGGUCUAUCAGCUUGUUGGUGGGGUAAUGGCUUACCAAGGCUUUGACGGGUAGCCGGCCUGAGAGGGUGUUCGGCCACACUGGGACUGAGACACGGCCCAGACUCCUACGGGAGGCAGCAGUGGGGAAUAUUGCGCAA
This 339-nucleotide ribosomal RNA is filed under the name uncultured bacterium. RNAcentral's name for it is "bacterial SSU rRNA". It matches the Rfam family "Bacterial small subunit ribosomal RNA", at positions 28 to 371 of the family's 1533-position model. The record is from RNAcentral.